Molecule: long non-coding RNA, 1261 nt
Filed under: Marmota monax (woodchuck)
Lineage: Eukaryota; Metazoa; Chordata; Mammalia; Rodentia; Sciuridae
Source: RNAcentral
GCUGAGAAUUGAACCAAGUCCUCGCACAUGCUAGGCAAGCACUCUACCACUGAGCCACAACCCCAACCUUUGAAUGUACUUUUAAAAGAUGUAUUUCUAAAAGAUGUAUUUCAUUAGCGAAAUACUUAAUGUGUACCUCUGAGUGUGGUUAAGCCACCAACUUGACACACAGAUUGUUUGUUUGUUUUUAUAGUUGUAGAUGGACAGAAUGCUUUUAUUUUAUUUGUUUAUUUUUAUGUGGUGCUGAGGAUGGAACCCAGUGCCUCACACAUGCUAGGCAAGUGCUCUGCCACUGAUCUACAGCCCAGUCCCUGUUUUUUAUUUUUGAUAAGCAUGUUACCUUGGUUUUUCAUUUCUUGUUAAAAAUAUACUUUUGUUUUCAGGGCACAUAUUCAGAGGUCUGAUUUUCAUUUCCGCUCCUCCCUCCUUAUUCCUUUAGCUAAUCAUUUUACCCACUUUUGAUUUAUCCUUCCAUUAUUUCUUUCUAAAAUAGAAGCAAAUGGAUAUGUAUGUGGUUAUUUCCACCCUUAUACAGAAAAUAAUAUACUGCAUAUCCUCGGGAUACUGGUAUGUUUGUGUGUAUGCGCAUAGAUAAAUGUGUGUCUGUGUGUGGGGGUAUGUGUGUAUAAGCACUUGAAAAAUCUUUCCAGAAAACAUUUUCUCUAGUUAUCCAUAUAUAUCCUCUUGUCUCAGCCUUCCAAGUCUCUGGGAUUAUAGAGUGUGCUACCAUGAUAUAUAAAUAUAUGUGUGUGUGUGUGUAUAUAUCCAUGUAUACACACGCACAAAUACUCAUGCAUACACUGGAGAUCACUUUCAUGACAUUAUAAAGAGAGCUGCUUUAUUCCCUGUUUGUAUUUCCCUUAUUCUUCUUUUUAUUAUAUAGUACUAUGAAUAGUACAUUAUAUGGAUGCACUAUAACAUAAUCAAUUAUGCAUGACAUUUGAGAUAUUUCUAGUGUUUUGCUGUUGAAAAUAGUGGUGCUUUCACAAAUAGCUUAUAAGGGGUUUGUUUUGUUUUGUUUUUACCCUUUUCCCAGGUUGUAUUUAGGAUUACUGGAAAUAUACAAAAACAUAUGUAAAUUUUGUUAUAUAGUGUCAAUUCCCCCUCUUUGAGGACUGUGCCUUUUUGUACUCCCACCAACUUCACUGACAAAUACUUGGAUUUUCUUAACCUCAUUUAGUACUGCUCAUUUAGUAGGUAUCUGUAAUUAGUUAUAUUUCUAUUAUAAAGAUUUCAGUUGAUUUUUACUUUUUGGCUGUGC